CUAAGGAUGGAGAACAUGGCUGGAUUCCUCUUCACGUCUCGGGCUUUGGCCCUCCUCAUGUUCCUCAACUGGCCUUCAGGUUCCUCCUCACAGCCCGUGUUGACACAACAGCCCUCAGCAUCUUUUUCCUCAGGCGAGAAUGUGCAUCUCACAUGUGUCAUGUCCUCUGGAUACAGAAUCAGUGACCACAGGGUUCACUGGUACCAGCAGACAUCCGGUGGUGUUCCUCGGUUUCUUUACCACUAUUAUAUCAGUAGUGACCAAGGUAGGGGCUCAGGGGUCCCAGAAAGAUUCAGCGUCUCUCCUGAUGCCUCCAACAAUCUCAGGAAACUGGUCAUCACUGGAGUUCAACCUGUAGAUGAGGGCGAUUACUACUGUGGCACAUGGGAUAGCAAUUCCAGUGUGUACCACGGUGGUAACUUUGAGGGGGAAAUGAGUCGAAAAGCUAUCUUCUUCUCUGUGGUGUAG
This is a non-coding RNA of Anolis carolinensis (green anole), 468 nucleotides long. Lineage: Eukaryota; Metazoa; Chordata; Lepidosauria; Squamata; Anolidae. The record is from the annotation of a RefSeq genome assembly.